CCCUUAGAUGUUCUGGGCCGCACGCGCGCUACACUGAUGAAUUCAACGAGCACUAACCUGUGCCGAAAGGUUCGGGUAAUCUUGUGAAAUUUCAUCGUGAUGGGGAUUGAUUAUUGCAAUUUUUAAUCAUAAACGAGGAAUGCCUAGUAAGCGUGAGUCAUCAGCUCACGUUGAUUACGUCCCUGCCCUUUGUACACACCGCCCGUCGCUCCUACCGAUUGGGUGUGCUGGUGAAAUGUUCGGAUCGGCCGUUUGUCGCGGUUUCCGCGUCAUGUGGCUGAGAAGUUCAUUAAACCCUCCCACCUAGAGGAAGGAGAAGUCGUAACA
RNAcentral lists this ribosomal RNA (327 nucleotides) under uncultured eukaryote. Its description in RNAcentral is "partial 18S ribosomal RNA". It matches the Rfam family "Eukaryotic small subunit ribosomal RNA", at positions 1470 to 1796 of the family's 1831-position model. The record is from RNAcentral.